This 338-nucleotide unclassified non-coding RNA is filed under the name soil metagenome. RNAcentral's name for it is "partial contains 5.8S ribosomal RNA, internal transcribed spacer 2, and large subunit ribosomal RNA". The stretch from base 5 to 119 matches the Rfam family "5.8S ribosomal RNA", at positions 40 to 154 of the family's 154-position model. The record is from RNAcentral.
GAUGAGAACGUAGCGAAAUGCGAUAAGUAGUGUGAAUUGCAGAAUUCAGUGAAUCAUCGAAUCUUUGAACGCACAUUGCGCCCCUUGGUAUUCCAUGGGGCAUGCCUGUUCGAGCGUCAUUUGUACCUUCAAGCUCUGCUUGGUGUUGGGUGUUUGUCUCGCCUCUGCGCGCAGACUCGCCUCAAAACGAUUGGCAGCCGGCGUAUUGAUUUCGGAGCGCAGUACAUCUCGCGCUUUGACAACAAAACGACGACGUCCAAAAAGUACAUUUUUUACACUCUUGACCUCGGAUCAGGUAGGGAUACCCGCUGAACUUAAGCAUAUCAAUAAGCGGAGGA